AGCACCACAACAGGUGGAGCCUGCGGUUUAAUCGGACUCAACGCCGGGAAACUCACCAGAUAAGACAGCUGAAUGAUAGUCGGGCUGAAGACUCUACUUGACUAGCUGAGAGGAGGUGCAUGGCCGUCGUCAGUUCGUACUGUGAAGCAUCCUGUUGAGUCAGGCAACGAGCGAGACCCACGCCAACAGUUGCCAGCUCGUCCUCCGGGAUGGUGGGGACACUGUUGGGACCGCCUCUGCUAAAGAGGAGGAAGGAAUGGGCAACGGUAGGUCAGCAUGCCCCGAAUUAUCUGGGCUACACGCGGGCUACAAUGGGUGGGACAAUGGGUAUCGACACCGAAAGGUGAAGGCAAUCUCCUAAACCCAUCCGUAGUUCGGAUUGUGGGCUGCAACUCGCCCACAUGAAGCUGGAAUCUGUAGUAAUCGUGUCUCAAAAUGGCACGGUGAAUAUGUCCCUGCUCCUU
Molecule: ribosomal RNA, 464 nt
Filed under: uncultured Methanomicrobiales archaeon
Lineage: Archaea; Methanobacteriati; Methanobacteriota; Methanomicrobia; Methanomicrobiales
Description: bacterial SSU rRNA
Rfam family: Archaeal small subunit ribosomal RNA
Source: RNAcentral